Molecule: small RNA, 35 nt
Filed under: Arabidopsis thaliana (thale cress)
Lineage: Eukaryota; Viridiplantae; Streptophyta; Magnoliopsida; Brassicales; Brassicaceae
Description: ATSL142440
Source: RNAcentral
UCCAGUUCACGUUUUGAGAAAAAUCCAAAAAAAAA